Molecule: ribosomal RNA, 460 nt
Filed under: uncultured Nitrosomonadaceae bacterium
Lineage: Bacteria; Pseudomonadati; Pseudomonadota; Betaproteobacteria; Nitrosomonadales; Nitrosomonadaceae
Description: bacterial SSU rRNA
Rfam family: Bacterial small subunit ribosomal RNA
Source: RNAcentral
CACAAGCGGUGGAUUAGUGUGGAUUAAUUCGAUGCAACGACGAAAAACCUUACCUACCCUUGACAUGUCCUGAAGCCUGGAGAGAUCCGGGUGUGCCCGAAAGGGAACGGGAACACAGGUGCUGCAUGGCUGUCGUCAGCUCGUGUCGUGAGAUGUUGGGUUAAGUCCCGCAACGAGCGCAACCCUUGUCAUUAGUUGCUACAUUUGGUUGGGCACUCUAAUGAGACUGCCGGUGACAAACCGGAGGAAGGUGGGGAUGACGUCAAGUCCUCAUGGCCCUUAUGGGUAGGGCUUCACACGUAAUACAAUGGCGCGUACAGAGGGUUGCCAAGCCGCGAGGUGGAGCCAAUCCCAGAAAGCGCGUCGUAGUCCGGAUUGCAGUCUGCAACUCGACUGCAUGAAGUCGGAAUCGCUAGUAAUCGCGGAUCAGCAUGUCGCGGUGAAUACGUUCCCGGGUCUU